RNAcentral lists this unclassified non-coding RNA (166 nucleotides) under soil metagenome. Its description in RNAcentral is "partial contains 5.8S ribosomal RNA, internal transcribed spacer 2, and large subunit ribosomal RNA". The record is from RNAcentral.
AACGCACGAGACCUGCGGACCUGCGGAGGGAUCAUUAGUGAACGCCCUCACGGGCUUAUAACUAUUCCAAACCUCUGUGAACCGUGCCCUUCGGGGCUAUUUUACAAACAUGGUGUAAUGGACGUCAUAUAUCAUAACAAAACAAAACUUUCAGCAACGGAUCUCU